GCCACGGUAGCCAAGUUCGGAAAAGGCGGAGCACUCAAGAUGCUCUCCCGUAGGGGUCCACAGGUUCAAAUCCUGUCCGUGGCAC
RNAcentral lists this transfer RNA (85 nucleotides) under Halobellus salinus. RNAcentral describes it as "tRNA-Leu". It matches the Rfam family "tRNA". From Rfam's summary of the family: Transfer RNA (tRNA) molecules are approximately 80 nucleotides in length. Lineage: Archaea; Methanobacteriati; Methanobacteriota; Halobacteria; Halobacteriales; Haloferacaceae. The record is from RNAcentral.